CCUACGGGACGCAGCAGUGAGGAAUAUUGGUCAAUGCACGAGAGUCUGAACCAGCCAAGUAGCGUGAAGGAUGACUGCCCUAUGGGUUGUAAACUUCUUUUAUAUGGGAAUAAAAUGUUCCACGUGUGGGAUUUUGUAUGUACCAUAUCAAUAAGGAUCGGCUAACUCCGUGCCAGCAGCCGCGGUUAUACGGAGGAUCCGAGCGUUAUCCGGAUUUAUUGGGUUUAAAGGGAGCGUAGGUGGAUUGUUAAGUCAGUUGUGAAAGUUUGCUGCUCAACCGUAAAAUUGCAGUUGAAACUGGCAGUCUUGAGUACAGUAGAGGUGGGCGGAAUUCGUGGUGUAGCGGUGAAAUGCUGAGAUAUCACGAAGAACUCCGAUUGCGAAGGCAGUUCACUGGACUGCAACUGACACUGAGGCUCGAAAGUGUGGGUAUCAAACAGGAUUAGAUACCCGAGUAGUC
Molecule: ribosomal RNA, 460 nt
Filed under: uncultured bacterium
Lineage: Bacteria
Description: partial 16S ribosomal RNA
Rfam family: Bacterial small subunit ribosomal RNA
Source: RNAcentral